UCGAUUUUUGCAAAACAUCAUCGCAGCACAGUAGGUCCAUAGGUUAACAAGCGGGCCGAGUCAGUUUUUGAGUUAGAUCAUUCUGACGUCUGGGACCAUGACAUGUUAUUUCUAAAACUGGGCAUAAGUGUUUUGUCACUUUUGGAUGAUUUCUCUCAAAUGACUUUGUUAUGAAUGAAAACGCUGAGGUGGAGACCAACGCGGCUGAACCAAUUGUGCCAGCUAGGCGAAGCACUCGUGUGAAGAGAAGGCCACAAAAAUUAGCUUAUUUCAAUUAAAGGGUGGGUAAAACGUGUGAAGGAAUCUGAGAGCAUGUGAGCUGCAGAAGUUUGUUAUAAAGGAAGUGGUAGCAACAGCAAGAAGUAGGCUGUUUGUUAUGGAAAUUCUCUGAGUCUCUCAUCCCAGACUCAUCCCCAAUUCUGAGAAAUCUGAGCUUCUCAUCCCCCUUCUUCUCUAUCCUUUAUAUUUCAGUCUUGUAUUGUUAUUUCUUUUAUUGCAUUCUCUAAUAUUGAGUCAGUUGUAAUUCAGUCCCAUUUUCAAGUAAUAGUAACUUUGAGGUUCAAAUUGUUACAUUGGUGCUUUCAUUCUAGAGUGUCUAAUGGCGGACCAACACUUGAAGGGCUCAGACGACGUAUCAGUUGCUCGAGAAAUUGCGGAUCUGCGAUCCUCUAUACAACAGUUGGUGGCGUCCAUGGCUUCCUUGGUUCCACCUACUCAUGUCCCCGUAGUUGACCCACAUCGUUANNNNNNNNNNNNNNNNNNNCGCUCUGAACCACCGCCAGUCCCCCUAACUCUUCGCCACAAACCGGCUCCGGUGGAAUUGGGGCGUUUUUCUGGCAUGAAUCUAGAGGCUUGGAUCUUCCAAGUGGAAAGGUAUUUUGAAUGUUAUCAUAUUGCCGAUGACCAUAAAUUGUCACUUGCUUCUUUCUAUCUCGACGGCGAUGCUCUUGAGUGGUGUCGUUGGUCGUAUCGCAAUAAGCAGUUGAUUGAUUGGGAUCACUUUGCUGAGAAAUUGGUUCAACGAUUUCGAAAACGGAAGUUGGAAGUCCCAGAGGGUCGUCUUGCUAAGAUAAAGCAGAUUACGACGGUGGCGAAAUACCAAAGCAAAUUUGAAACUCUCCUUAAUGAGACUACUCCUGUGGUUGAGCACUGGUUAGUCCAUUUUUGGAUUUCUGGGUUUUCUUCCGACAUUAAGUCUGCAGUAGUAGCCCAUGAGCCUACAAAAUUGGAUCGGGCAAUGUCUCUGGCCCAUGGCCCAUGUACAUGAACAACGGUUAUUCUCUGGUAAAGGGUUGCCCCGACCUGCUUUUGCAUAAUCAAAUCCUAUUCUACCCACCCCUACCCCGAUGCACCACACCUCGAAACCUUCCUCAUCCGCAUUAGUCCCUAUUGCUCCGCCACCUGUACCUUCUAACCUCAUACCCUUCAAACGCCUUUCCCCUGCUGAGUUACAAAGCCAUCGUGAGAAAGGCUUAUGCUACAACUGUGAUAAGAAAUUUUCUCUUUCGCACAAGUGUAAGGUGCUUCCCCAAUUAUUGUUGCUUACUGAGGAUUCAGAAUUUUCAUCGGAAUGGCCAGAACCAUAGUCUGAUGGUGUUUUAGUUGAGAAUUUGCAACUUAUGGAGGUACAAAACCAUUCCUCUAUUUCUUAUCAAGCUUUAUCGGGUGGCGAUUUACCAACUACUUUGCGUUUUAUUGUCGUUGUUAAUGGUUUCCAAAUCCAAAUUCUUGUGGAUGGGGAAGUACUCAUAAUUUUAUACAAGCUAGAGCAUCCAAAUACUUGCACCUGGUGGUUGAACCAAUUCCGAGUUUUGGAGUGGUGGUUGGCAUUGGCCAACGUCUCAAUUGUGAUAGAAUUGUGUGUGGAGUUCCUUUGCAUAUUCAGGGGUGUGAUUUGCCUAUGAACUUGUAUGUUUUAUCCCUCCACAGAGCGGACGUGGUUUUGGGUGUCUUUUGGUUAGCAACAUUAGGGCCGGUUGUUACUGAUUAUGCAGCCCGUAUCUUCGAGUUCUCAUUGAACGGUUCCCCUGUUCAUUGGGUAGGGGAUUCCCCAACUAAGCUGUAAUCAGUACAAUUGCAUAGUUUGCGGCGCUUGGCCACCACAGAUGCCAUUGCUUCUCUUUAUUGUUUGACGGUAGCUAAUAAUGGAAAGACAACUGAUGAGCCUCCUCUUUUAACCCCUAUACUGGACUCUUUGCAUGAUGUUUUCGAAAAGCCUCAUGGCGGCUAACCACCUAUUAGAUUUCAAGAUCAUGCUAUUCAUUUAACACCUGGGGUUGGGCCUGUUAAUGUCAAACCAUAUCGCUAUCACUAUUUUCAAAAGCAAAUUAUAGAGCAGCUUGUUGCAGAGAUGCUCAAGGAAGGGGUCAUUCGGGCAAGUACCAGCCCUUUCUCUUCACCUGUGCUUCUAGUCCGAAAAAAGGAUGGUACAUGGCGUUUUUGUGUAGACUAUCGAGCUCUGAAUGCUAUUACUAUAUGGGAUCGUUUUUCUAUCCCCACCAUUGAUGAAUUAUUUCAUGAGCUUCAUGGUGCAAAUCUUUUUUUCAAAGCUCGACUUAUUAGUCAGGCCUGCAGACAUUAGCAAAAUUGCAUUCCGAACUCAUGAGGGGCACUAUGAGUUCUUAGUAAUGCCCUUUGGGUUAUCCAAUGCGCCCUCUACUUUUCAGGCUACUAUGGAUGCGGUAUUGCGGCCUUUUCUUCGGCGUUUUGUGUUGGUCUUCUUUGACGAUAUCCUCAUUUAUAGUGCCCAAUGGGAGUCCCAUUUAGAGCAUCUCACCACUGUCCUAGAGCUUCUUCGCUCUCAUAAAUUGGUGGCCAAAACUUCUAAAUGUUUGUUUGGCCAAACGACCAUUGAAUAUUUGGGCCAUGUGAUCUCUAGCAAAGGACUUUCUGUUGAUCCCACUAAAAUCACUGCCACCAGUCCCUAAGUCGGUAACGGAUGUACGAGGGCUUUUAGGGCUUACGGGUUACUAUCGACGUUUCAUUCAUCACUACGCCAGUUUGGCGGGGACUUUGACUGAUUUGCUCCGAAAGGAGUUUUUCUACUGCACAGAUAUCACCCAGGCAGCUUUUGACACACUUAAGGAGAAAUUGAGUAGUACACCUGUCUUGACCCUUCCGAAUUUUACUCAAGAGUUUCAGGUGGAAAUCGAUGCUUCCGGGCAAGGCAAGGGGCUGUGUUGUCCCAAAGAGGUCAUCCCAUUGCAUAUUCUAGUCAAAAAUUGAGCUCGGAAUGCAGCGAGCAUCCACGUAUCAUUGUGAAAUGUUUGCUAUUACGCAGGUAGUGGGCAAAUGGAGGCAGUACCUUUUGGGUCGACGAUUUACUAUUCUCACGGAUCCGCAGUCACUUAAGAAUUUGACUAACCAGACCAUCCAAACUCCGGAGCAGCAAAAAUGGCUUACCAAGCUAGUAGGCUAUGAUUUGCGCAUUUUAUAUAAACUUGGAAAGCAAAAUCAGGUUGCCGAUGCUUUAUCUCGAACGCCAUAUGCUAGUUUCUUGGCCUUGUCGAUCCAAACUUUUGCCUUGGAACAGGAAUUGAAAGCGUUGAAUCGCUCCCAUCCAGACCUCUUAGCCAUUCAACAGGCUCUCACUAUGCAGUCCUCUGAUUCAGCUGGUUAUGUUUGUUUAGAAGGACUUCCCUUUUACCAUGGCAGAUUGGUUAUUCCGGAUGACUCUCCUUUACGCCAACGGUUGUUAUAUGAGUUUCAUUCUACUGCCAUAGGUGGACAUGCUGGAAUAGCUCAUACCUACCAUCGGCGUUAAAUUUCUUUUGGAAACAUAUGCGCAAGGAUGUUCAGACUUAUGUAGCUUCUUGCCAAGUUUGCCAACAGAUGAAGAGCUCUCACGAGCUUCCUGCGGGCCGCUUACAACCCCUUCCCAUUCCCGAUUUGGUCUUUGAGGACAUCGCCAUGGACUUCAUUACCUGCUUGCCUAGUUCAAAAGGGAAAUCCACCAUUAUGACAAUUGUGGAUCGUUUGUCUAAGUAUGGGCACUUCGUUCCAUUAACUUCGACUUUUACUACUCAUAAAGUUGUAGAAGCUUUUGUGACUCAAAUUAUUCGACUUCAUAGUCCCCCUCACAGUAUCGUCACUGAUAGGAACCCUCGAUUUUAACAUUUUUUUGGCAGGAAAUCAAUAGGUUGCAGGGAACUUCACUUACUAUGAGCACUGCCUAUCAUCCUCAAACGGAUGGACAGUCUGAGGCUCUUAAUAAGUGUGUUGAGCAAUAUUUUCGAUGCUUUGUUGUUGAUGUCCCUACUGAUUGGGUUGCAAUGCUACCAUGGGCAGAGUAUUGGUACAACACCUCCUACCAAUCUUCCGCUGGCAUGACCCCUUUUUCAAGCCUUGUAUGGGCGUUAACCACCUACUGUUGCACGCUACAUCUUGGGAAACUCUUCUAGCGAUCUGGUCGAAGCUUAUUUGGUCCAGCGUGAUGAGGUUCUAAUUUUGCUCAAGCAGAAUCUUAGCAAAGCUCAAGCUCGCAUAAAGAAGUUAGCUGAUAACGAGCGCACAGAGAUCACCUCUUCAGUUGGUGAUUGGGUCUAUGUCAAAUUAAAACCUUAUCGUCAGACUUCUAUUAGGGAGCUUCCUUCUCACAAGUUGGAUAGGCAAUUCUUUGGACCUUUCCAGAUUCUUAAACGAGUUGGGGAAGUUGCGUACAAGUUGGAAUUACCAGAGGCUUCCCGGAUUCACUCUGUUUUUCAUGUUUCUAUACUCAGACGUUGUAUAGGCAAACCAACACAACAAAUUACUCCUUUGAACUUAUCCAACAGUGCUCCCCCUGUUUGGAACCUUGUGGACAAGGUUCUCAUUGAGGACGGGAGUAUUGUUAUGAAAGAAAACGCUGAGGUGGGGACCAACGUGGCUAAACCAAUUGUGCCAGCUAGGCGAAGCACUCGUGUGAAGAGAGGGCCACAAAAAUUAGCUGAUUUCAAUUAAAGGGUGGGUAAAACGUGUGAAGGAAUCUGAGAGCAUGUGAGCUAAGUUUGUUAUAAAGGAAGUGGUAGCAAUAGCAAAAAGUAGGUUGUUUGUUAUGGAAAUUGUCUGAGUCUCUCAUCCCCAAUUCUAAGAAAUCUGAGCUUCUCAUCCCCCUUCUUCUCUGUCCUUUAUAUUUCAGUCUUGUAUUGUUAUUUCUUUCAUUGCAUUCUCUAAUAUUGAGUUAGUUCCCAUUUUCAAGUAAUAGCAACUUUGAGGUUCAAAUUGUUACAGACUUGGAUUUAUUUUAUGAAGAGUCGCACUGAAGUGUUUACACCUUACCCACUUUUGUGCCUUCAGUGCUGAAGUCAAAA
This 5288-nucleotide long non-coding RNA is filed under the name Capsicum annuum. RNAcentral's name for it is "long non-coding RNA (CANN_LNC018726)". Lineage: Eukaryota; Viridiplantae; Streptophyta; Magnoliopsida; Solanales; Solanaceae. The record is from RNAcentral.